Small nucleolar RNA from Hippopotamus amphibius kiboko, 134 nucleotides. RefSeq annotates it as small nucleolar RNA SNORA70. The transcript has a single exon. The record is from RefSeq and is a predicted model, not a curated record. NCBI's taxonomy places the organism in Eukaryota, Metazoa, Chordata, Mammalia, Artiodactyla, Hippopotamidae.
UUUCAGCCAAUUAAGCCGACAGUGCUCUUUUCCCCGCAGGGGCCCAGUGUGUAAUGGCUCAAACAACAGCCUCCUCGGUAGUGCAUGCAGCCUGUUGCCUGUACAGGUUGCCCUAAGGGACCUUGGAGAUGGUC